RNAcentral lists this ribosomal RNA (253 nucleotides) under uncultured bacterium. RNAcentral describes it as "partial 16S ribosomal RNA". It matches the Rfam family "Bacterial small subunit ribosomal RNA", at positions 524 to 776 of the family's 1533-position model. The record is from RNAcentral.
CACGUAGGGCGCAAGCGUUGUCCGGAAUUAUUGGGCGUAAAGAGCUCGUAGGCGGUCUGUUGCGUCGGCUGUGAAAACCCGGGGCUCAACUCCGGGCCUGCAGUCGAUACGGGCAGACUAGAGUUCGGUAGGGGAGACUGGAAUUCCUGGUGUAGCGGUGAAAUGCGCAGAUAUCAGGAGGAACACCGGUGGCGAAGGCGGGUCUCUGGGCCGAAACUGACGCUGAGGAGCGAAAGCGUGGGGAGCGAACAGG